UCGUACAACACGGGGGUGCCGGGGCUGUCGCUGACCCUAAAAGGUCGUGCACGCCUCGGACACUCUCGCUCACAAUCCAUCUCACCCUUUGUGCAUCACCGCGUGGGCUCCCCUUUGUUGAAAGGGGGGGCUUGCGUUCUUACACGUACACCCUUUUUAAUGUGAUAGUGUAGAAUGUCAAAUCAAUA
This 188-nucleotide unclassified non-coding RNA is filed under the name uncultured Lactifluus. RNAcentral describes it as "sequence contains ITS1". Lineage: Eukaryota; Fungi; Basidiomycota; Agaricomycetes; Russulales; Russulaceae. The record is from RNAcentral.